Long non-coding RNA from Triticum aestivum (bread wheat), 4088 nucleotides. RefSeq lists it as uncharacterized. The transcript is spliced from 7 exons. NCBI's taxonomy places the organism in Eukaryota, Viridiplantae, Streptophyta, Magnoliopsida, Poales, Poaceae. The record is from RefSeq and is a predicted model, not a curated record.
CACAUUUUGUGUUCCAGCCCCCCAAGCAUUCUGGUGUAGCUCCGCCACUGGAUGGCUGGCAGCGCCUUCAAGCUCAUACAGAUCGACUAGGAGUUUAACAUCUUCCACGGGCGGCGACGCGCAUGGAGGAGGAGAGAAUGGAGAGGCGUGGAGGAUAGGCGGGCGAGCUGGAAGGGCCGGCACGUCGCCCACGACACAGAUGAGACCAACGGCGGCCUUGCAGGGGCGCGUUGGCGAGGACCUUUCGAAUCUCACCGAAUCCGAUGGGAAAUGGCGCGCAGGCAACGGGUCUAGAAGGAAAGCGGCCAGAUCUCGGAGCACAACGGCUGGAUUGAAGCGUGGCAUUGACUUGUGCGCUGCUAGCUGGAGCAGGUUUUGAGCCACAAUCUGUAUCUACCGGCAAAGCUAUCAUCUGACGGCAAACAUGGUGGCCUUCCUCUCAUCAUUGCAAUUGAUCUGCAACCGUUGGCUCCGAUAGAAGGUGUUAUACAGGUGCAGGGCAACAUCAUCAAUGCUCGGACAGCGGAAGUGGUUAUCAGGCACUUUGAUGGAUGUAAAGCAGACUUGGUUGUCUGUGAUGGCGCCCCUGAUGUUAAGCUUGCAUUGCUAGAGAAGUGGUCCAUAACCAUCUUACAUGUGCUAAAGAUACUUCUGUUUCUUACUUUGCUUUGGAUGAUUGCAUUUACUGGACUUCAUGAUAUGGACGAGUUUGUUCAGUCCCAGCUUAUAUUGGCGCUUAGUAUAUUUUUCUCUGUCUCUGCAUAUCAAUUUAGAUCAGAGAUACGUUUUGGAAGUAAUUUGCAGUAUCCAUAAGAUGCAGUGUCCAAAAAUAAUGCUACCUUAACCCUGCAGUUUAUGUUUAGCAUUCUACCUUAAAAUGCUUACUUUCGGUGCAAUAGCUUCUUUGUAUUUUUAUAUUGAACAUUGGACCAUUUUUACUCAACCUUUGGAUAAUUUGUUGCUGUUUAUGUUGUAGAACAACAUGGUGUAACACUAUGGUUCCACUAACUCGUCAUAUUUUCCACUAAUGUUCUUCCUUCUUGGCUGCUUCCAUCUACCUUGCUACCCCAUCUCCCCUCUACCAAAUCCCAACCUCAUGGUGGAUUCAUCUACAGGAAUCCUCACCUACGACAGUUCUCCUGGUGACCAUCCACCCGAAGUUCAUCUCCCUACCACUCUGUUCAGUACUUCUCUCCCCCAUACACCCUUGGCAGAUCCACCUGUCUCUCUCAUCUUACUCACAACUGAUUGUUGUUGUUUUGCUGCAGAGUUUGUGACAGAACAGAGAAUUGUUACAGCUCAGAUCAUAGACAAAUCUUAUGUUGCAACAACAGGUUUGGAGGUUAUGCUGAGAAUUAAAAUGUCAAGGUUCAAAAAAUAGAUGCUUCAAGUAUUUAAUCUCUUUCAAAUACUCUUAUCAUGUUCCUUUCAGCGGUUAGAGGCACAACUAAGAUAUGUUUGCUUCACACUCAUGUUUGUAAUACACCUAUAUGGUUCCUUAUUUUAUCAUGUCCACGUUUAAAAUUCUCUGAUGCAGCAGAGCUGACUGAUAUAGAGGUUAACCUUUUUUUGAGCCAAAGUUGUACUAAUUCCAUGUGCUCUUUGGUGCAGCGCUCACUGAACAUAUUGAUAUGCAAGUCAAUUCUAACAAAUAACUCUUUGCUUUGUCGCGGUGCAAAUACAUCAGAUUUAUCUGCACGUAGAACCGAACAUUGGAUUAUUUUUGCCUGCAUGUCAACACAAUCGAAAAUGACGAUGACACUGCAUAGUUAACCAGUUAGUUUUGUGAGAACCAAUAUGAUAAACUACUGGAUAAUAGGAUAACUAUAUUAGUAUUGUUGCAUUGGAACACAUGAUUCUCUAGUUCAUAUUUGGCACGAUGCUUGCAUUCAAUAUCUGGAAUCCUAGACCACAAACCAUAUGUUUGUGAUCCCUAUAGAGUGUUCCAGUGUUGAAAACUGGAGCAUAUACUAUAUUCGAAUAAUAUUUUGUUACACAUCAGUCAUACAUUGGAUGGGCAAGCCAUACAAAUUGGAGUCAAUCUGAUUAUUGUUUAGUUACAUAUGCUUUUUUGUUUUCUUUUGGUGUGUAGUCAUCUCUUAUAGUGACCACAAAUUAGUACAUAUAAAUUCAGUUUUAUGAUCACUGUUAAUAUGAACAAGGUUCCUGCUUUAUGGCAUUUAUGGUUAGUGAUAUGUAAAGUGAGCUGCACUGUUUUUUUUUCAUCCUAUUAGCAAAGCAUCAUUUUUGUUUUCGAGAAUAUUUGAUGAUAGUGCAGCUUAUAAACCUAGUCCAGAAUGGACCAGUGUUAAUAAUUCUUUUGUUAGAUAUUGGUCAAUAGAUUUGGUGAUUUAACUCCCUCGAUAUUUUAAGUUGCAUCAGUUUUAUACCUAGAUUGGAUUGUAUUUAGGCUGCACACAGUACCUCGCACUGGGUAUAUAUCAUGAUGAUAUUUUCCAUUAUAUUUAUACAUGAGUCAUUUUUCCCUACUGAUUCCUGAUUCUUUACUUUUAUGAAAGGCAAGGGCGUGCACUUUUCACUAUCAAUCUUAGAGUAAGCGCCUGCAGGUAAGGAGUAGUUGAUGAAAGAUAUUAGUUACCACAUCUCUUAUGUGUUGUGGAUUUGCUGUUGUGGAUUUGCUAAUGAAAAUUUCCUCGUGGAAUAUUUCUCUUUCCCCUCUAUGAAUUUUCAUGUUUCAUCUAUGAUGGAUCUUGCCUCCCACUGUUUGUCCUAUCUAAAAAUAUAUAUUUUUUCAAUGGUUCAAUUCCUCUCAUCCUCCCCCCUUGGGUUUCUUGGCUUACUUUUUGACCAACUUAUGUUUCAGGCUAUAUUUAUACCAUGGAAAAAUAGCUAUAUAUAGUGGCUUCAGCAGCCAUUUGUGCUUGCAUUUCUUUGUUAUUUUGUGUAAUAAGAUAAAUCAUAAGAUAAUUAGAUGUAACUCUAUGAUGUUCUUUGCCAUUGUCAUACGUCUCAUAAUAAGGUUGUCUCCUAUUCUGAAUCGUUGGGCAGAGGAGGAUAUUGUACGCGAUCCAGGGCAAGAAGGAUAUCAACCAGGACACAGUUGUAUCCCCGUUGCAACGCGCGGGUUUCAUAUUAACAAAAAUUAACAUUUUUCCAAUAUGAAUCUGUAAGAAAAGAUAUGUCAUACAUUUGUGAAAAUUGAUAAUGUAAGCUAAUCUCAAAACUUUAUUCUUUUUUCAAGAUUGAUUACUUGGUGGGGCUAACUUCCAUUUUCUCAAAACAGGAUGUGCAUGCUACUUCUGAAAAAAGAAACCUCUCUGUUGGCUGGCAUCCCUGGUGGUAGUUUUACAUAUCUAGCAAAUGAAAGGGCACCUCAUAAUACAUUGGAUAUAGACUGGUAGGGUCAAUUACAUAUAGUUGGCUGUAAAUGACUUUCAGUUUCUAGCUUACAUAUAGUUUUAGAUAUCUAGACAUGUACUCCAUCCUUCUCAAACUAAGUGUCUCAAAUUUGUACUAACUUUAGUACAAAGUUAUACUAAGCUUGAGACACUUACUUUGGGACGGAGGGAAUACUAUUUAACAGUAUGCUGUGCUUGAUGCCUUGAUGGUGGCCCUAUGUGUCAGUUGAAAUUAUCACGUUAUUUACUAGCAGUUGCAGUGCUCUUAUUAUUUUAUUUCCACAAAUAUCAUCAUGUUUUCCCUCAAUCUGAAGGUAUGAACUAUGCUGCUCCUCCUGGUUUGUGUGUUGCUUCCGCUGGAUGAUGCUCUGUUUUAUGUUGUUUGUACAAGGUCCAAGACCUGGCUGAUGUACAGUUUUGACAUACAAUGAUCUGAAUAUGUAUGUCUUUAUUUGGGAUAUAGUCAGGAUACAAAUAUUGUACGUCAGUGUGGAACACCGUACAUCUUUUAAGUUUUAACUGAUUCUAGGUGUUCAUUCAAUCUGAAUUGGUCUAUUUUAUUUAGCCUAUGCUAGCUUGUGAUUUCCUGUGCUGCAAACUGUAGUUAAUUUUCCUUAACUGAUGUCUUUGAUCCGGCAGUUGGGUAAUGCACUUGUGAUCAUUUUUCUUACUCUGCUGUCAGUACCACUGGUCUUGGGGUUCAGAUUCUGUCAAUAUCAAAAUCUAGGU